Leopardus geoffroyi (Geoffroy's cat) is the source of this 1261-nucleotide long non-coding RNA. RefSeq lists it as uncharacterized. The transcript is spliced from 3 exons. Lineage: Eukaryota; Metazoa; Chordata; Mammalia; Carnivora; Felidae. The record is from RefSeq and is a predicted model, not a curated record.
UGAAAAGCAUCCAAGUUGUAUUUCUUUUUAUUAUUAUUAUUACAAAGAGAAGAAUUAGAAAGCCAUCGGAAAAGGCUGAUGAGUUCUCUCUGAAUAGGCAAACAGGCAGCAGCUGUGGGAGGAGGCGACAGAAUGGUGGCAUUUUUCAAAAUGGGCAUUUGGUAUUACAGAUUGAUGCACGAAAAAUAAAAACAAGGAUAAACUAUUGAGUCAACAAAUUAUUAUUAUAGCGAUUUUUAUGGGGUGAUCUUGCCCUGCUUUUGGAUGAAGCCACAAAUUUCAGUCACUCAUUAGCAUUCCUUCUUUGAAAUGACUUUAAUAUGGUUGUAUAUUAAUUCGAUUGCUAUGAGUUUCCUGAAAUAGAAGAUUGACUUGACCUGUGGCUGGUGCUAGGGAGAUCGCAUCCUGUGUCACAUCAGCAAAUUAGCAUGGAGUUUAACCCUUACAUAGUAAAGCCUAGCACGGGCAAAACAACAUCAUGGCUAUUUUUCUAACUUCCAGCACUUCAUUAACUAUGGCACCACAUAGGGGUUAUAUAACUGUGAGCAUAACUUUGUAAAGUUUAUAAACAUAACAGAGAACAUUCUCACGGGUGUCCUCGGCCAGGCCGCAUGCGUCGCUCCUUGAGGUCACCCAAAGUUCCCUUUCCAGACACAGCUCACCCUUCAGUUGCAAGGGGAGGCAGGCUGCCCACACUGGCUGUCCCAGCGCUAACCCCUCAAGUGAUCCUGCUCAGCAGCUCUGUGCUCCUGCCAGCACGUCGCAGAGGAAGAUGGAUUGCCUCUUAGUAAUGUUUCUCAAGGGAACGGAAAGAACACAGAGUUAGCUAUGGCUCGUCUCCAAACUGCAGACUCCAAACUCCAAACCACCAACGUGUGCUGCAAAUAAGGGAGUAAAGGAGCCAUUGGUUCAGGGUGAAGCAAGGGGACACCUGCAAUUUCUUUCCUUAGAAUUCAUGCCUUCACUUUUUCAUCAGUGUAAUGAAAGGAGCUGUGGAACUGAAGUCAGAAAACCCAGGCUGCAGCUGAGAAACUGCUAGCUAUGAUACCUUGAACAAGUUGCUUAAAUGCUCAAAAUGUUUAUUUCCUUAUUUACAAAGUAAAAGAGUUGAAUGGUAUGAUCCCCAAGUUUACUUCCACCUGUGAAGAUUUAAGCCUUCAAUUGUAAUCAGUUCCAGAAGCACUCUCAGUUAUUAUGUCCUGCGUUGUGAUGAAAUGCGUAUUUCCGUGGACUGAAUAAAGCCUAACUCUUGCGAAUCGAA